GUGAGAAUCUGCCUUCAGGAUGGGGACAACAGCUGGAAACGGCUGCUAAAACCCAAUGUGCCGAGAGGUGAAAUAUUUAUAGCCUGAAGAUGAGCUCGCGUCAGAUUAGCUAGUUGGUAAGGUAAUGGCUUACCAAGGCGACCAUCUGUAGCUGGUCUGAGAGGAUGAUCAGCCACACUGGGACUGAGACACGGCCCAGACUCCUACGGGAGGCAGCAGUGGGGAAUUUUCCGCAAUGGGCGAAAGCCUGACGGAGCAAUACCGCGUGAGGGAGGAAGGCUCUUGGGUUGUAAACCUCUUUUGAUCGGGAAGAAGACAGUGACGGUACCGAUCGAAUCACCAUCGGCUAACUCCGUGCCAGCAGCCGCGGUAAUACGGAGGAUGCAAGCGUUAUCCGGAUUUAUUGGGCGUAAAGCGUCCGCAGGUGGUUGAGCAAGUCUGCUGUCAAAGCGCGGAGCUUAACUCCGUAAAGGCAGUGGAAACUGUUUAACUUGAGUACGGUAGGGGUAGCGGGAAUUCCCAGUGUAGCGGUGAAAUGCGUAGAUAUUGGGAAGAACACCAGCGGCGAAAGCGCGCUACUGGGCCUGUACUGACACUGAGGGACGAAAGCUAGGGGAGCGAAAGGGAUUAGAUACCCC
Molecule: ribosomal RNA, 638 nt
Filed under: Pantanalinema rosaneae WUC1766
Lineage: Bacteria; Bacillati; Cyanobacteriota; Cyanophyceae; Leptolyngbyales; Leptolyngbyaceae
Description: bacterial SSU rRNA
Rfam family: Bacterial small subunit ribosomal RNA
Source: RNAcentral